UACGGAAGGCAGCAGUGGGGAAUAUUGCACAAUGGGCGCAAGCCUGAUGCAGCCAUGCCGCGUGUAUGAAGAAGGCCUUCGGGUUGUAAAGUACUUUCAGCGGGGAGGAAGGCGAUGCGGUUAAUAACCGCGUCGAUUGGCGUUACCCGCAGAAGAAGCACCGGCUAACUCCGUGCCAGCAGCCGCGGUAAUACGGAGGGUGCAAGCGUUAAUCGGAAUUACUGGGCGUAAAGCGCACGCAGGCGGUCUGUUAAGUCAGAUGUGAAAUCCCCCGGGCUUAACCUGGGAACUGCAUUUUGAAACUGGCAGGCUUGAGUCUUGUAGAGGGGGUAGAAUUCCAGGUGUAGCGGUGAAAUGCGUAGAGAUCUGGAGGAAUACCGGUGGCGAAGGCGGCCCCUGGGACAAAGACUGACGCUCAGGUGCGAAAGCGUGGGGAGCAAACAGGAUUAGAUACC
This 455-nucleotide ribosomal RNA is filed under the name uncultured bacterium. RNAcentral describes it as "bacterial SSU rRNA". It matches the Rfam family "Bacterial small subunit ribosomal RNA", at positions 340 to 786 of the family's 1533-position model. The record is from RNAcentral.